AACGUAGGAGGCGAGCGUUAUCCGGAUUCACUGGGCGUAAAGCGCAUGUAGGUGGUUCGUUAAGUAGGGUGUGAAAGCCCCUGGCUCAACUGGGGGAGGUCAUCCUAAACUGGCGGACUGGAGGUUCCGAGAGGAGAGCGGAAUUCCCGGUGUAGCGGUGGAAUGCGUAGAGAUCGGGAGGAACACCAGUGGCGAAAGCGGCUCUCUGGCGGAAAACUGACACUGAAAUGCGAAAGCGUGGGUAG
Molecule: ribosomal RNA, 245 nt
Filed under: uncultured bacterium
Lineage: Bacteria
Description: partial 16S ribosomal RNA
Rfam family: Bacterial small subunit ribosomal RNA
Source: RNAcentral